AAAGAAGUUAUGUAUUUUACGUAACAUGUGAUAGAGAGAAAGAUGAUGUCCGGAAAAAUAAUCAAAGAGAAACAAAAUAAUUAUUUCGAGGAGAAUUGUGAAUGAAAAAUGUGAAACAGACCUUAAUUAGUUACAGAAAAAAUCUGUCAUUUCCAAGUAAAAAUAAUGUCAUAUUUUAAAAACUUUAAAAUCAUUGUCAAAAUCCAGUCCGAAAUUGAUAGUAUUCAUAACUGAAAUCUAAUUCAAAUAGAUUAAUCUUACUUAAAAC
This 268-nucleotide long non-coding RNA is filed under the name Ananas comosus (pineapple). Its description in RNAcentral is "long non-coding RNA (ACOM_LNC025770)". The record is from RNAcentral. Lineage: Eukaryota; Viridiplantae; Streptophyta; Magnoliopsida; Poales; Bromeliaceae.